GAUUUUGUUACGGUUUUUUAUUUACAGUACGGUUUAUGACUAUGGAAUUUAUAUGAGCCUCCAGUUACGAGAUUUUGCAUGUUGAGAAAUCAAGCACAAGAAACCGGGAUACGUAGGGCUAAGAUAGUGCCAGCAGCCGCGGUCAUACUACCCUACGAAGUGAAUAAUAUAAGUGAAGUAACUUAUAGUAAUAUAUCACAUUGGUGAAAUAUAUUUUAUAUCGUUUCUAAUAUAAGUAUUUAUUUACAAAAAUACCUUUCCCAAACAAGGAUUAGAUACCCUUCUAUGAAGUAACUAAAAAUUUCACUGGGUAUUAAAGUUGCAUUACCCAAACUCAAAUAACAUGGCGGUAAUUUUAAUGCUUAGGGGAACUUACCUAAUAAAUGAUAACCACCAAGUGAAGCUACUUUAAGUAAAAUUUUGUAUGCCGUCGUCUAGAUUAAAUAUUAUAUUUAAUCUUUAGUAAACAUACUAUAUGACAGAUCUUGGUGCAGACCAUCCUAAAGUUAAGGCGAGUUACAUUAAUAAAUUAGUUCUAUUGGUCACCUAUAUAAACCUAAAUAGUUGGACUUAAUAGUAAGGUGUUUAUUAUAAUUACUACCUGAAUUUUAAUAAAAUUGUGC
This 623-nucleotide non-coding RNA is filed under the name Trochulus striolatus. The record is from RNAcentral. Lineage: Eukaryota; Metazoa; Mollusca; Gastropoda; Stylommatophora; Hygromiidae.